Rhodamnia argentea is the source of this 199-nucleotide long non-coding RNA. RefSeq lists it as uncharacterized. NCBI's taxonomy places the organism in Eukaryota, Viridiplantae, Streptophyta, Magnoliopsida, Myrtales, Myrtaceae. The transcript has 3 exons. The record is from RefSeq and is a predicted model, not a curated record.
UGACAAAAUUUAUAAAGAAGAAUUAGCUAGAUGUGUUGCCAUUGAACGUUUAUCUUUUAAUUUUGGUGAAAAUUUUGGUGUUAAUCAUUUUAUACAAAUUGCAUGUACUCCACAAGAAAAAACUGUUUCGAGAAAUACGCUUAAACGCCAAUUGUUUAAUCUUUUUAAAAGAGAAAAAAGAAAAGAUGAUUUGCGAAAU